AUUGAACGCUGGCGGCAGGCUUAGCACAUGCAAGUCGAGCGGAGUGAUGGUGCUUGCACUAUCACUUAGCGGCGGACGGGUGAGUAAUGCUUAGGAAUCUGCCUAUUAGUGGGGGACAACACCUCGAAAGGGAUGCUAAUACCGCAUACGUCCUACGGGAGAAAGCAGGGGAUCACUUGUGACCUUGCGCUAAUAGAUGAGCCUAAGUCGGAUUAGCUAGUUGGUGGGGUAAAGGCCUACCAAGGCGACGAUCUGUAGCGGGUCUGAGAGGAUGAGCCGCCACACUGGGACUGCGACACGGCCCAGACUCCUACGGGAGGCAGCAGUGGGGAAUAUUGGACAAUGGGGGGAACCCUGAUCCAGCCAUGCCGCGUGUGUGAAGAAGGCCUUAUGGUUGUAAAGCACUUUAAGCGAGGAGGAGGCUCUUUUGGUUAAUACCCAAGAUGAGUGGACGUUACUCGCAGAAUAAGCACCGGCUAACUCUGUGCCAGCAGCCGCGGUAA
RNAcentral lists this ribosomal RNA (503 nucleotides) under uncultured bacterium. Its description in RNAcentral is "partial 16S ribosomal RNA". It matches the Rfam family "Bacterial small subunit ribosomal RNA", at positions 30 to 523 of the family's 1533-position model. The record is from RNAcentral.